GGGUGCGAUUAUACCAGCACUAGUGCAUUGAAUCCCAUCAGAACUCCGCAGCUAAGCGUGCUUGGGCGAGAGUAGUACUAAGGAUGGGUGACCUCCCGGGAAGUCCUCGUGUGCACCCU
RNAcentral lists this ribosomal RNA (119 nucleotides) under Eutrema salsugineum. Lineage: Eukaryota; Viridiplantae; Streptophyta; Magnoliopsida; Brassicales; Brassicaceae. The record is from RNAcentral.